Molecule: long non-coding RNA, 413 nt
Filed under: Physcomitrium patens
Lineage: Eukaryota; Viridiplantae; Streptophyta; Bryopsida; Funariales; Funariaceae
Description: long non-coding RNA (PPAT_LNC007179)
Source: RNAcentral
GGGUCACUCAAUUAAUUGGAGACUGACUAGCUGAAAUCCAUUCAUUUAUAAUCAAAAACAUCCACAAAAUAUUAUAUUGAAAUCCACAUUUUAUUGAUUUUCUUUUGAUACAAUCAAAUAUUGAAAUUGAUAAUCCUAUCCCUUCUAAUUUCUUCUUUCAUUUACUCUUCUUUUCUCCUUUAUUAUGAUAACAAUAUGUAAAUUGCUACAUAUUCUAAAUAGUCAACAUACAUUGAUUCAAUAGCCCAAAAAUUAAAAAUUCUCACUAUCUUAGAUUUUAAAACUAAUUUUUUCUUUUGAUAUUCUAAAAUUCAUUUACCAAUCUUCAAUUCUUCCAUAAAUAAAAACAACGUGGAUAGCACCAAGCUUACUUUGGCUCAUGACUCUCAUAUUUUGGUCCAUUAUACUUCCAC